UUUCUGUAAGAGCUAUGAUUACUAGGAUUGAUGCUACGACUGGUAAGAAUUAACGGAGCCUGAGAAGCGGUUACUAUGUCCAAGAAAGGCAGCAGGAGCGUAAAUUACCCACUUCCAGAACGGGGAGGUAGUGACGAAAAAUAACAAUAUGGGACACUUUUGAGACCCCGUGAUUGGAAUGACGAUCAAUUGGAAGGUAAGUCUGGUGCCAACAGCCGCAGUAAUUCCAGAUCCAAUAGCAUAUGUUAAAGUUAUUGCUGUCGCCCAGACGGUAUAGUGGUUAAGGGAGCCUACUAAGGUACCGAAGGGCCCGGGUUCGAAUACUGGAGAAGACAUGGAUGUUUCUAAAUGUAUGGUGUCGGUGAGGCAUGGCGGCACUUUAAACAUGCGACGAGCUGAAAGUCCUUUCGUGUGGAUUGGUGGGAGAGGAAAGGGGUGAAGCACCUCAGGAUCCUUCCCGGGGUGCUCUCCCUGAAAAUUGGGGGUGGAAAAUAGAAGUUCAACCUCUCUUCGGACUAGGUUCUGGCAACCAUUGUUCCAUGUGAUAAUGGACACGACAACAACAAAGUUGUUGCUAUUAGAAAGCUCAUACUUGGAUUUCAGUUCCAGACGAGCGGUUCGCCUACCGGUAGUUACUCCCUGUUCUGAACAGCCAUACAGUUUCCUUUGUUGAUCUUCACCGGUUGUCUUGGGUCGACGGCAAGUUCACUAUUAGAGUGCUCAGAGCAGGUGUGACGCCUGAACGAUGGUGCAUGGAAUAAUGGAAUAGGACCUCGGUUCUAAUUUGUUGGUUUUCGGAAUACGAGGUAACGAUUAAGGGAGCAGACGAGGACAUUCGUAUUGUGAGGCUAGAGGUGAAAUUCUUGGGAAGUCACAAAGUUCUCCAUCUUUCUGCUGAUUUCAUAGAAUGAUACAGGACGACGGAUUCACGUCUA
RNAcentral lists this non-coding RNA (935 nucleotides) under Stegodyphus mimosarum. Its description in RNAcentral is "Eukaryotic small subunit ribosomal RNA". It matches the Rfam family "Eukaryotic small subunit ribosomal RNA", at positions 332 to 961 of the family's 1831-position model. The record is from Rfam by way of RNAcentral. Lineage: Eukaryota; Metazoa; Arthropoda; Arachnida; Araneae; Eresidae.